This 253-nucleotide ribosomal RNA is filed under the name uncultured bacterium. RNAcentral describes it as "partial 16S ribosomal RNA". It matches the Rfam family "Bacterial small subunit ribosomal RNA", at positions 524 to 776 of the family's 1533-position model. The record is from RNAcentral.
UACAGAGGUCCCAAGCGUUGUUCGGAUUCACUGGGCGUAAAGGGUGCGUAGGUGGUGAGGAAAGUCGGAUGUGAAAUCUCCGGGCUUAACCCGGAAAUGGCAUUGGAAACUGCCUUGCUAGAGGUUUUGAGGGGGGACUGGAAUUCUCGGUGUAGCAGUGAAAUGCGUAGAUAUCGAGAGGAACACCAGUGGCGAAGGCGAGUCCCUGGAAAACACCUGACACUGAGGCACGAAAGCUAGGGGAGCAAACAGG